Oryctolagus cuniculus (rabbit) is the source of this 3352-nucleotide long non-coding RNA. Lineage: Eukaryota; Metazoa; Chordata; Mammalia; Lagomorpha; Leporidae. The record is from Ensembl.
AUGAAGUCCUGUUUGAUGGAGGAGGAGAAUAUGAAAGCAGACCCUGCCUUCUCAGCUCUUAGGACGAAUUAUCCUAGAGGAAAGGAGCUUAUGGGCUCCAAACAGGAAGGAAAGAUCGGGAGCUGGAGAAGCUCACUACCUGACGUGUUCAGUUCAUGCUACUCACAGGUGUGGCAAUUCUGCACUGACCCACAAAAAAAGUACACAUAUCACAUUGUUAAAAGAUUUAUUUACUUAUUCGAAAGGCAGAGCUACAGAGGCAGAGGCAGGGAGAGAGAGAGAGAGAGAGAGAGAGAGAGAGAGAGAGAGACUCCCAUCCACUGGUUCACUUCCCAGAAGGCUGCAAUGGCCAGAGCUGUGCUGAUCAGAAGCCAGGAGCCAGGAGCUUCUUCUGGGUCUCCCAUCUUAGGGGUAGGAGCCCAGGGACUUGUCCACAGUUGGGAAUAACACUCGAGCUCUGACAGUGACGAGUAAUCACCCACAUGGAAGUUGGUAUCUAAGAACGUGGGUAGGCUCUUGCUGCUCAGCAUCUAGCAUCUGAUGGCAAACCCCACCUAAAAGCUCUCAAACUAGUCUUUCAUUGCCUCAAGGACCAGGUUGUUCAACCUAGUAGUUUUCAAGUUUUUGGUAUGAGUUUGAGUGGCCCUGAGGUCACCAGGGACUGCUUGUCUUCUCUCCUGGAACUCAGGAGUGACUUUCUCCAGAUGGCUUGAUCUGCCCCCAUAUUGUAGACACCACAGAGCCAAUUCUCACUGCACACUGACACGCUGAGUGAUGAGAGAGUCAGCCCUUCUCAAAGGACAAUUUCCUGCCACAGCCGGCAACAUGGUCUGUGUGAUCCUUUGACUCAGACUCUCUGCUAGAGGGUGAUGAGGUGUGAAGAUGACAGUUUGCAUAUGGUUUCCACCCACAGAUUCCUGAUCUUCAGCAGGACCAGUGCACGGUUUGUUGUCAGAGAGCUGGAAUCUCUCAAGCAUCCCUUUGAGAACAAUUGGUGUGUGGCUCCCAUUUGUGCAGUAGAGAUUGGAAAUGCCACCAAAGUUGCUUCAGAGGGUUGGGGGAAGAUAUUGGAUAGCUGCUCCAGAGACUCCAGAUUACAGGCUAUCUGACAAGCUGACAUUCAACAAAUCCUUCACAGAGCAAGGUAGGGCCAUCUAAUCUGACAUCUCUCUACUCGAAACACACAGUAUUUUCACUCACCUGCUAAUCAUCAUCAAGAAAUGCAAAUCCCUUACCAUUUAUCAGAGAGCCUGGUGAGAAGUGUCAGAUCUUAGAAACCAAGUUUGCCAGAAUUAGAAUCCCUUCAAGUCUCAUGGCUGCAACAGAGAGACUCAGAAGGAGACAGUGAGCUUCCUUAAGAAAUUUCAGCCGUCCUUGGGGGAGUUUGGGUUGGAACCCAAUCUUGCAACUCUCUGAAUAUCAGGAAGUUUUUUUCUUUAUGUGAAAGCUAAGAUCUACUGUGUCCCAUCCCAUCCCAUGAAGGACUCUGGGAGUUCAUUGAGUGGGGAGGGGGAAGCUGGGGAUGGGGUCUCUUCUUUAAGGUUCCACCACCGAUCACUUCAAUCCAGGGUCCACGGUUUCGCUGUCAUUGCUUCAAGAGGGACUGGUCACUUCUCUACUUAGGGCAGGUGGGAGAUGUGCACCUGGAGAUCUAGUUUGAAAACCUGCUUUGUGGUGGAGUAAAGAGGCUAGGACUGCCCACAGGGACCUCACACUUUCUUGCUUUAGGUUAAGGUUCCCCUUCUUUAUUCCACGGGAAGACCAAAAAGCACCGGCUCAGGAAGAGAAUCCCACCUACAGGACAAUGGCCUUGGUUACUUGUGCCCCGUCAGUGGAGUCCCCCAGCACAAACUGUGGGCUUGGUGGAUGGGGUGACUCCUUCCUGAAAGCAGGCUCUGAGCCUUCCUUUCUCAAUUCUCAAUUGGCUACAAUUUGAAUGGUUUGGGUGCAAGGAAGUUCGGUGGUGCAGAUAGGUUGACGGCUUGAAUCGGGUCAUUAAAAAGAAAUAUUGGGGGCCGGCGCCACGGCUCACUAGGCUAAUCCUCCACCUUGCGGUGCCGGCACACCAGGUUCUAGUCCCAGUCGGGCGCUGGAUUCUGUCCUGGUUGCUCCUCUUCCAGGCCAGCUCUCUGCUGUGGCCAGGGAGUGCAGUGGAGGAUGGCCCAAGUGCUUGGGCCCUGCACCCGCAUGGGAGACCAGGAGAAGUACCUGGCUCCUGCCAUCGGAUCAGCGCGGUGCGCCGGCCGCAGCGCGCCAGCCGUGGCAGCCAUUGAAGGGUGAACCAACGGCAAGGCAAGACCUUUCUCUCUGUCUCUCUCUCUCUCACUGUCCACUCUGCCUGUCAAAAAGAUAAAAAAAAAAAAAAAAGAAAAAGAAAUAUUGGGGCCGGUGCCGCAGCUCACUAGGCUAAUCUUCUGCCUGCAGUGCUGGUGCCCCAGGUUCUAGUCCCAGUUGGGGGGCCGGUUCUCUUCCAUUCCAGCUCUCUGCUGUGGCCUGGGAGUGCAGUGGAGGAUGGCCCAAGUGCUUGGGCCCUGCACCCGCAUGGGAGACCAGGAAGAAGCACCUGGCUCCUGGCUUCAGAUCGGUGCAGCGCCAGCCAUAGUGGCCAUUUGGGGGAUGAACCAACGGAAGGAAGGAAAACGUUUUCUCUCUGUCUCUCUCUCUUGCUGGGUCUUAGUCCACCCGAACAAGGAUGGACUGGGUCCGAAGAAAGGUAAGUGCGCCGCUCGCCCGUUCCCCAGCCUCCGGAUCCCGGAGACAAUCAGACGCAGCGGGGAGUCAAGUCAAGCAAGCAAGAACUCCAUUUAUUGGCACAUGGCAAAGCCUUUUAAAGCACAAGACCUCAUGAUUACUGAGGCAGGGAUUAAGGACCAACCAAUUACUUAAAAGGUCAUUUUACAGGGCGACUUUUUACAGGACCAGCCAUAUGUCUCUAAACUCAUCAUCAGUUGUCACCUCCCCUGAUGCUGCGCGGCCAAUCAGCUUUGGUGGUAAAUGACUUUGGGCACCACCCACCUUACUUCCUUAGGGAGCCAUCUUUGAAUUGCCUCCUGUGCCUAAUUUCCCCACACUCUCUCUCAUUGUCUAAUUCUGCCUUUGGAAAAAAAAAAAAAAGAAAAGAAAAGAAAUAUUGGAGGGAGGAACCUGGCCUAGUGGUCCCGACUCUGGUUACCAAGUCCAGCUUCCUAUGACCGCAGACCUGGGGAGGCAGCAGGUGAUGGCUCAAGUGAUUGGGAAAAUGACUCCCCAACUCCCAAUUUGGCAGGCAUUUGGGGAGCAAACCAGCAGAUGAAAGCUCACUCUUUCUCUCUCUGCCUCUCAAAUAAACAUUUUCUUUUAAAAUUUUAAAACA